UGGGCUAGAGAGGGGAAGGAUGUGAUUUGAACAGAUAGUUCUCAUUCUCCUCUGUCCAG
This 59-nucleotide microRNA precursor is filed under the name Chlorocebus sabaeus (green monkey). Its description in RNAcentral is "miRNA (ENSCSAG00000024459.1)". Lineage: Eukaryota; Metazoa; Chordata; Mammalia; Primates; Cercopithecidae. The record is from RNAcentral.